CCCUUUGGGGUGUGACUGCGUACCUUUUGUAUAAUGGGUCAGCGACUUAUAUUCUGUAGCAAGGUUAACCGAAUAGGGGAGCCGGAGGGAAACCGAGUCUUAACCGGGCGUUAAGUUGCAGGGUAUAGACCCGAAACCCGGUGAUCUAGCCAUGGGCAGGUUGAAGGUUGGGUAACACUAACUGGAGGACCGAACCGACUAAUGUUGAAAAAUUAGCGGAUGACCUGUGGCUGGGGGUGAAAGGCCAAUCAAACCGGGAGAUAGCUGGUUCUCCCCGAAAGCUAUUUAGGUAGCGCCUCGUGAAUUCAUCUCCGGGGGUAGAGCACUGUUUCGGCUAGGGGGCCAUCCCGGCUUACCAACCCGAUGCAAACUGCGAAUACCGGAGAAUGUUAUCACGGGAGACACACGGCGGGUGCUAACGUCCGUCGUGAAGAGGGAAACAACCCAGACCGCCAGCUAAGGUCCCAAAGUCAUGGUUAAGUGGGAAACGAUGUGGGAAGGCCCAGACAGCCAGGAUGUUGGCUUAGAAGCAGCCAUCAUUUAAAGAAAGCGUAAUAGCUCACUGGUCGAGUCGGCCUGCGCGGAAGAUGUAACGGGGCUAAACCAUGCACCGAAGCUGCGGCAGCGACGCUGAUGCGUUGUUGGGUAGGGGAGCGUUCUGUAAGCCUGUGAAGGUGGCCUGUGAGGGUUGCUGGAGGUAUCAGAAGUGCGAAUGCUGACAUAAGUAACGAUAAAGCGGGUGAAAAGCCCGCUCGCCGGAAGACCAAGGGUUCCUGUCCAACGUUAAUCGGGGCAGGGUGAGUCGACCCCUAAGGCGAGGCCGAAAGGCGUAGUCGAUGGGAAACGGGUUAAUAUUCCCGUACUUGGUGUUACUGCGAAGGGGGGACGGAGAAGGCUAUGUUGGCCGGGCGACGGUUGUCCCGGUUUAAGCGUGUAGGUGUGUGUUCCAGGUAAAUCCGGUUCACUUUAACACUGAGGCGUGAUGACGAGGCACUACGGUGCUGAAGCAACAAAUGCCCUGCUUCCAGGAAAAGCCUCUAAGCAUCAGGUAACAUCAAAUCGUACCCCAAACCGACACAGGUGGUCAGGUAGAGAAUACCAAGGCGCUUGAGAGAACUCGGGUGAAGGAACUAGGCAAAAUGGUGCCGUAACUUCGGGAGAAGGCACGCUGACACGUAGGUGAAGUGAUUUACUCA
Molecule: ribosomal RNA, 1196 nt
Filed under: Salmonella enterica
Lineage: Bacteria; Pseudomonadati; Pseudomonadota; Gammaproteobacteria; Enterobacterales; Enterobacteriaceae
Description: partial 23S ribosomal RNA
Rfam family: Bacterial large subunit ribosomal RNA
Source: RNAcentral